This 485-nucleotide ribosomal RNA is filed under the name uncultured bacterium. Its description in RNAcentral is "partial 16S ribosomal RNA". It matches the Rfam family "Bacterial small subunit ribosomal RNA", at positions 899 to 1397 of the family's 1533-position model. The record is from RNAcentral.
ACUCAAAUGAAUAGACGGGGGCCCGCACAAGCAGCGGAGCGUGUGGUUUAAUUCGAUGAUACGCGAAGAACCUUACCUGGGUUUGACAUCGAGGUAGUAGUACGGUGAAAGCCAAGCCACCCUUCGGGGAGCCUCGACAGGUGCUGCAUGGCUGUCGUCAGCUCGUGUCGUGAGAUGUUGGGUUAAGUCCCGCAACGAGCGCAACCCUCGUCGUUAGUUACAUGUGUCUAACGAGACUGCCGGUUUCAAACCGGAGGAAGGUGGGGAUGACGUCAAGUCAGCAUGGUCUUUAUAUCCAGGGCUACACACACGCUACAAUGGCCGGUACAAUGGGCAGCCACACCGUAAGGUGGCGCUAAUCCUCAAAGCCGGUCUCAGUUCAGAUUGUCGUCUGCAACUCGACGGCAUGAAGGCGGAGUUGCUAGUAACCGCGCGUCAGCCAUAGUGCGGUGAAUGCGUUCCCGGGCCUUGUACACACCGCCCGU